AAAAUACUCCCUCCGUCCGGAAAUACUUGUCAUCAAAAUGGAUAAAAGGAAAUGUAUCUAGACGUAUUUUAGUUUUAGAUACAUCUCUUUUUAUCCAUUUUGAUGACAAGUAUUUUCGGACGGAGGGAGUAGAAA
Molecule: non-coding RNA, 135 nt
Organism: Triticum aestivum (bread wheat)
Lineage: Eukaryota; Viridiplantae; Streptophyta; Magnoliopsida; Poales; Poaceae
Source: Rfam